This 492-nucleotide ribosomal RNA is filed under the name uncultured bacterium. Its description in RNAcentral is "partial 16S ribosomal RNA". It matches the Rfam family "Bacterial small subunit ribosomal RNA", at positions 29 to 507 of the family's 1533-position model. The record is from RNAcentral.
AGUGAACGCUGGCGGUAGGCCUAACACAUGCAAGUCGAACGGCAGCACGGUAAGAGCUUGCUCUUACGGGUGGCGAGUGGCGGACGGGUGAGGAAUACAUCGGAAUCUACUUUUUCGUGGGGGAUAACGUAGGGAAACUUACGCUAAUACCGCAUACGACCUACGGGUGAAAGCAGGGGAUCUUCGGACCUUGCGCGAUUGAAUGAGCCGAUGUCGGAUUAGCUAGUUGGCGGGGUAAAGGCCCACCAAGGCGACGAUCCGUAGCUGGUCUGAGAGGAUGAUCAGCCACACUGGAACUGAGACACGGUCCAGACUCCUACGGGAGGCAGCAGUAGGGAAUAUUGGACAAUGGGCGCAAGCCUGAUCCAGCCAUACCGCGUGGGUGAAGAAGGCCUUCGGGUUGUAAAGCCCUUUUGUUGGGAAAGAAAAGCAGCAGGUUAAUACCCCGCUGUUCUGACGGUACCCAAAGAAUAAGCACCGGCUAACUUCGUG